GCCCAGAUAGCUCAGUUGGUAGAGCAGAGGACUGAAAAUCCUCGUGUCACUGGUUCGAUUCCGGUUUUGGGCA
Molecule: transfer RNA, 73 nt
Filed under: Lachnospiraceae bacterium
Lineage: Bacteria; Bacillati; Bacillota; Clostridia; Lachnospirales; Lachnospiraceae
Also listed under: 2 other names
Description: tRNA-Phe
Rfam family: tRNA
About the family: Transfer RNA (tRNA) molecules are approximately 80 nucleotides in length.
Source: RNAcentral